This 146-nucleotide unclassified non-coding RNA is filed under the name uncultured fungus. RNAcentral describes it as "sequence contains ITS1, 5.8S rRNA gene". Lineage: Eukaryota; Fungi. The record is from RNAcentral.
CUGAGUGAGGGCUCCGUGCCCGACCUCCUACCCCUUGUUGAAAUACCAUGUUGCCUCGGGGGCGACCCGGCCCUUUGGGUGUGGGGCCCCCGAUGGACCAGAUAAACUCUUGCGUUUUGGCGUCUGAGUCUUAAGCAAAUCGAUUA